RNAcentral lists this ribosomal RNA (397 nucleotides) under uncultured bacterium. RNAcentral's name for it is "bacterial SSU rRNA". It matches the Rfam family "Bacterial small subunit ribosomal RNA", at positions 29 to 426 of the family's 1533-position model. The record is from RNAcentral.
AUUGAACGCUGGCGGCGUGCCUAACACAUGCAAGUCGAGCGGUAACAGGUGUAGCAAUACAUGCUGACGAGCGGCGGACGGGUGAGUAACGCUUGGGAAUCUGCCUAUUAGUGGGGGACAACCCGGGGAAACUCGGGCUAAUACCGCAUACGCUCUACGGAGGAAAGCCGGGGACCGCAAGGCCUGGCGCUAAUAGAUGAGCCCAAGUCGGAUUAGCUAGUUGGUAGGGUAAGGCCUACCAAGGCGACGAUCCGUAACUGGUCUGAGAGGACGACCAGUCACACCGGAACUGAGACACGGUCCGGACUCCUACGGGAGGCAGCAGUGGGGAAUAUUGGACAAUGGGCGAAAGCCUGAUCCAGCGACGCCGCGUGGGUGAAGAAGGCCUGCGGGUUGU